Passer montanus (Eurasian tree sparrow) is the source of this 1023-nucleotide long non-coding RNA. RefSeq lists it as uncharacterized. The transcript is spliced from 3 exons. Lineage: Eukaryota; Metazoa; Chordata; Aves; Passeriformes; Passeridae. The record is from RefSeq and is a predicted model, not a curated record.
CAGACAGCAAACCAGGCCAAGUCUGCAGAGCUGCACUUCAUUAUUUCUGAGAACUCUGCACUUUCUUAUUUAUCCUUGCCGCAAAUGGAGUGGCUUAUGAUCUGGCUCGUUGUUCCUUUUUCCUAUGCAUAUACUUCUUUGAGAAUUUCUUCUAAAGAGGUGUAGGGCAUGGGAAAAUGGGGCAGCUGAGGUACUUCACCACUCAUCCUGGGCAGCUUCGGGAAGGCAGCAGCAGAAAUGUUCAGAGAAAAUAGAUGGGCCAGGAAAUGAAAGGUAAAUUUAUGAAACCCCCAAUUAAUCAUCAAAACUUGUGUAAAAAUAUACUGCCACUAUUUAUUCUGAUCUAACAUCUAAAUCUUGGUUUCCUCUUAAAACCUGAUUUAUUACAAGAGUAAUAUUUUAAGCAUUUCUCCAACUACAUUAUUUAAUAUGUCACUAGGUCUAAUGUAAAGCACAUGCCUUGCUAAGAAGCUACCCCUGCAGUCCUUAUUCCCAUAAUUCCAACAGAAAAUAAUGAAAAUAUAGUCACACAAACUGCCAAAAAUGCCACUCUUUGUCCCUGUCUCACAGGUGCCAGGAGCAGCCAUCACUAAAUCCAGGUAAUGCUGACUCACAUGUGUAAAGCCCAGUCAUGCAAAUGCUGCCUAAGUGGGUUGUCAGUAAUAUACCAAUUAUUCUUGGGAUUUUAUCCUUUAAGGUUCUAAGUACCUUUUACAUGAUGCAUGCAUGUGUGGAAUUGUGAAGUCUUCUAUUGUAAAACUCAGUUAAUAGUAAAUAAAAAUUAAAAACAUAAUAAUUUUUUUUCUUUCGCCCACAGGUGUCUUGGAGGUGGAAGUAGAAGCUCUCUUUGCUCAUUUCAUUUAGUAGAAAAAUAAAAUUUUUAUGUUUCUGUCCAAUUACUUUCAUUUACUCUAAAUAGCAAUGUGUCACAGCAAUUCUGGGGGGAAAAUUCUGCUGUUAUGAAACAAUGUAAAUGUACAUAAUGCAUGUCAAAUAAAUAUCUAAUGUUUCUGUCACAGAUCA